Non-coding RNA from Dipodomys ordii (Ord's kangaroo rat), 73 nucleotides. Lineage: Eukaryota; Metazoa; Chordata; Mammalia; Rodentia; Heteromyidae. The record is from Rfam.
AGUAUGGUGGCUCAGUGGUAGAGUGCUUGCCUCACACGCAUGAGGCUCUGGGUUCAAUUCCUCACCACCACUU